CCUACGGGAGGCUGCAGUGGGGAAUAUUGGACAAUGGGGGCAACCCUGAUCCAGCCAUGCCGCGUGUGUGAAGAAGGCCCUCGGGUUGUAAAGCACUUUCAGUGAGGAAGAACGCCUGGUGGUUAAUACCCAUCAGGAAAGACAUCACUCACAGAAGAAGCACCGGCUAACUCCGUGCCAGCAGCCGCGGUAAUACGGAGGGUGCGAGCGUUAAUCGGAAUUACUGGGCGUAAAGCGCGCGUAGGUGGCUUGAUAAGCCGGUUGUGAAAGCCCCGGGCUCAACCUGGGAACGGCAUCCGGAACUGUCAAGCUAGAGUGCAGGAGAGGAAGGUAGAAUUCCUGGUGUAGCGGUGAAAUGCGUAGAGAUCGGGAGGAAUACCAGUGGCGAAGGCGGCCUUCUGGACUGACACUGACACUGAGGUGCGAAAGCGUGGGUAGCAAACAGGAUUAGAUACCCCUGUAGUC
RNAcentral lists this ribosomal RNA (465 nucleotides) under Vreelandella stevensii. Its description in RNAcentral is "partial 16S ribosomal RNA". It matches the Rfam family "Bacterial small subunit ribosomal RNA", at positions 338 to 795 of the family's 1533-position model. The record is from RNAcentral. Lineage: Bacteria; Pseudomonadati; Pseudomonadota; Gammaproteobacteria; Oceanospirillales; Halomonadaceae.